Long non-coding RNA from Rhagoletis zephyria (snowberry fruit fly), 906 nucleotides. RefSeq lists it as uncharacterized. The record is from RefSeq and is a predicted model, not a curated record. NCBI's taxonomy places the organism in Eukaryota, Metazoa, Arthropoda, Insecta, Diptera, Tephritidae.
UAAGAGCUAAUACACCAUUCUCUGGUGAACUGCAGCUGCGGCCGAAUUUGAUUGUGUGCAUCAUCCUGCAGAUAUUUUUAAAUUUUGUGGACGCUUCUGCUGUGCUGCGUUCCUGCUCCGCCUGUGUAUUGCUCCGCCCGUGUUUUGUAGUGUUGCGUCCCUGUUGCGCCUUUGCAUUAGUGUGUGCGUUGUGCUUUAGACAGGUUGAAGUAAGUUGAAACCAGGUUUUUGUUUGUUAAAAACCUAAAAAGCCAUUUAUUUGCAAAUUGUUUGUAUGCUUCUGCUGUGCUGCGUUCCUGCUUCACCCGUGUAUUAGAUUGCUGCCCUCCUGUUAAUAUACACACCGUCGUUUAAAGUACAAAACCGCGUAACUGACAUUUGCUGCUAAAAAUUGGCAACCUCGCAUACGUGGGUUUUCAUUAUCUUGAUACGCGGUUUUGCAUUUUAUUGAUACACGGUUUUGUACUUUAAACGACGAUAUGUAGAUGUAUGUACAUACAUAUAUAUCACAUAUAUUGACUUAGAUAUUUAUAGACAAUGAAUGAUGUGUACAUAAUUUUUUUUAUGUUGAAACUGGAUAUGUAUAUAGUAUGUUAUUAAUAUUAUUCAGUUCAAAAAAGUCCUAUCUCAAAUGAAAAUACUUUGAAAAUGUGCUGAGAUAGGGCGUUUUUGGAUCGCCAGCUGAGAUAGGUGGUUUUAACCGAGUUUUGAGAUAGGGCAUAUUUCAAUCAAAUUCUAAAAUAGGGCGUUUUCCAGCCAAAUUUUGAAAUGGGGCGUUGAAAAGUUUACUGAUAUCGAGCGUAUCGACCUGGCUGCCGAGAUAGGUCGAUAUUCCACUCAGCCAUCGAUAUAUAGUCGCAUUUUUCGGUAUAUGAAAGACGAUUAAACACGAUUUGUUUUUAUAUC